This 2771-nucleotide ribosomal RNA is filed under the name Enterobacter cloacae. Its description in RNAcentral is "bacterial LSU rRNA". It matches the Rfam family "Bacterial large subunit ribosomal RNA". Lineage: Bacteria; Pseudomonadati; Pseudomonadota; Gammaproteobacteria; Enterobacterales; Enterobacteriaceae. The record is from RNAcentral.
AGCGUACACGGUGGAUGCCCUGGCAGUCAGAGGCGAUGAAGGACGUGCUAAUCUGCGAAAAGCGCCGGCGAGGUGAUAUGAACCUUUGACCCGGCGAUGUCCGAAUGGGGAAACCCAGUGUGAUUCGUCACACUAUCGUUAACUGAAUACAUAGGUUAACGAGGCGAACCGGGGGAACUGAAACAUCUAAGUACCCCGAGGAAAAGAAAUCAACCGAGAUUCCCCCAGUAGCGGCGAGCGAACGGGGAGCAGCCCAGAGUCUGAAUCAGCUUGUGUGUUAGUGGAACGGUCUGGAAAGUCCGACGGUACAGGGUGAUAGUCCCGUACACGAAAAUGCACAGGUUGUGAACUCGAAGAGUAGGGCGGGACACGUGGUAUCCUGUCUGAAUAUGGGGGGACCAUCCUCCAAGGCUAAAUACUCCUGACUGACCGAUAGUGAACCAGUACCGUGAGGGAAAGGCGAAAAGAACCCCGGCGAGGGGAGUGAAAAAGAACCUGAAACCGUGUACGUACAAGCAGUGGGAGCACCUUCGGGUGUGACUGCGUACCUUUUGUAUAAUGGGUCAGCGACUUAUAUUCUGUAGCAAGGUUAACCGUAUAGGGGAGCCGAAGGGAAACCGAGUCUUAACUGGGCGUUAAGUUGCAGGGUAUAGACCCGAAACCCGGUGAUCUAGCCAUGGGCAGGUUGAAGGUUGGGUAACACUAACUGGAGGACCGAACCGACUAAUGUUGAAAAAUUAGCGGAUGACUUGUGGCUGGGGGUGAAAGGCCAAUCAAACCGGGAGAUAGCUGGUUCUCCCCGAAAGCUAUUUAGGUAGCGCCUCGUGAACUCAUCUUCGGGGUAGAGCACUGUUUCGGCUAGGGGGCCAUCCCGGCUUACCAACCCGAUGCAAACUACGAAUACCGAAGAAUGUUAUCACGGGAGACACACGGCGGGUGCUAACGUCCGUCGUGAAGAGGGAAACAACCCAGACCGCCAGCUAAGGUCCCAAAGUCAUGGUUAAGUGGGAAACGAUGUGGGAAGGCACAGACAGCCAGGAUGUUGGCUUAGAAGCAGCCAUCAUUUAAAGAAAGCGUAAUAGCUCACUGGUCGAGUCGGCCUGCGCGGAAGAUGUAACGGGGCUAAACCAUGCACCGAAGCUGCGGCAGCGACACUAUGUGUUGUUGGGUAGGGGAGCGUUCUGUAAGCCGUUGAAGGUGGCCUGUGAGGGUUGCUGGAGGUAUCAGAAGUGCGAAUGCUGACAUAAGUAACGAUAAAGCGGGUGAAAAGCCCGCUCGCCGGAAGACCAAGGGUUCCUGUCCAACGUUAAUCGGGGCAGGGUGAGUCGACCCCUAAGGCGAGGCCGAAAGGCGUAGUCGAUGGGAAACAGGUUAAUAUUCCUGUACUUGGUGUUACUGCGAAGGGGGGACGGAGAAGGCUAUGUUAGCCGGGCGACGGUUGUCCCGGUUUAAGCAUGUAGGCGGAGGUUCCAGGUAAAUCCGGUACCUUUUAACGCUGAGGUGUGAUGACGAGGCACUACGGUGCUGAAGUAACAAAUGCCCUGCUUCCAGGAAAAGCCUCUAAGCAUCAGGUAACAUCAAAUCGUACCCCAAACCGACACAGGUGGUCAGGUAGAGAAUACCAAGGCGCUUGAGAGAACUCGGGUGAAGGAACUAGGCAAAAUGGUGCCGUAACUUCGGGAGAAGGCACGCUGAUAUGUAGGUGAAGCCCCUGCGGGUGGAGCUAAAAUCAGUCGAAGAUACCAGCUGGCUGCAACUGUUUAUUAAAAACACAGCACUGUGCAAACACGAAAGUGGACGUAUACGGUGUGACGCCUGCCCGGUGCCGGAAGGUUAAUUGAUGGGGUUAGCGGCAACGCGAAGCUCUUGAUCGAAGCCCCGGUAAACGGCGGCCGUAACUAUAACGGUCCUAAGGUAGCGAAAUUCCUUGUCGGGUAAGUUCCGACCUGCACGAAUGGCGUAAUGAUGGCCAGGCUGUCUCCACCCGAGACUCAGUGAAAUUGAACUCGCUGUGAAGAUGCAGUGUACCCGCGGCAAGACGGAAAGACCCCGUGAACCUUUACUAUAGCUUGACACUGAACACUGGUCCUUGAUGUGUAGGAUAGGUGGGAGGCUUUGAAGUGUGGACGCCAGUCUGCAUGGAGCCGUCCUUGAAAUACCACCCUUUAAUGGCUGGUGUUCUAACGUAGACCCGUGAUCCGGGUUGCGGACAGUGUCUGGUGGGUAGUUUGACUGGGGCGGUCUCCUCCCAAAGAGUAACGGAGGAGCACGAAGGUUAGCUAAUCCUGGUCGGACAUCAGGAGGUUAGUGCAAUGGCAUAAGCUAGCUUGACUGCGAGAGUGACGGCUCGAGCAGGUGCGAAAGCAGGUCAUAGUGAUCCGGUGGUUCUGAAUGGAAGGGCCAUCGCUCAACGGAUAAAAGGUACUCCGGGGAUAACAGGCUGAUACCGCCCAAGAGUUCAUAUCGACGGCGGUGUUUGGCACCUCGAUGUCGGCUCAUCACAUCCUGGGGCUGAAGUAGGUCCCAAGGGUAUGGCUGUUCGCCAUUUAAAGUGGUACGCGAGCUGGGUUUAGAACGUCGUGAGACAGUUCGGUCCCUAUCUGCCGUGGGCGCUGGAGAAUUGAGGGGGGCUGCUCCUAGUACGAGAGGACCGGAGUGGACGCAUCACUGGUGUUCGGGUUGUCAUGCCAAUGGCACUGCCCGGUAGCUAAAUGCGGAAGAGAUAAGUGCUGAAAGCAUCUAAGCACGAAACUUGCCCCGAGAUGAGUUCU